GCGUCAGUGGUGCAACGGUAUAGCACAUGCUACCGGAAAGAGUGAGAUCUGCGUUUGAAUCUCGGCUGACACA
Molecule: non-coding RNA, 73 nt
Organism: Parelaphostrongylus tenuis
Lineage: Eukaryota; Metazoa; Nematoda; Chromadorea; Rhabditida; Metastrongylidae
Source: the annotation of a GenBank genome assembly